This 797-nucleotide ribosomal RNA is filed under the name uncultured Glomeromycotina. RNAcentral's name for it is "SSU rRNA". It matches the Rfam family "Eukaryotic small subunit ribosomal RNA", at positions 314 to 1114 of the family's 1831-position model. Lineage: Eukaryota; Fungi; Glomeromycota. The record is from RNAcentral.
AUCAACUUUCGAUGGUAGGAUAGAGGCCUACCAUGGUGGUAACGGGUAACGGGGUGUUAGGGCACGACACCGGAGAGGGAGCCUGAGAAACGGCUACCACAUCCAAGGAUGGCAGCAGGCGCGCAAAUUACCCAAUCCCGACACGGGGAGGUAGUGACAAUAAAUAACAAUACGGGGUUCUUUCGGAUUUCGUAAUUGGAAUGAGUACAAUUUAAAUCUCUUAACGAGGAACAAUUGGAGGGCAAGUCUGGUGCCAGCAGCCGCGGUAAUUCCAGCUCCAAUAGCGUAUAUUAAAGUUGCUGCAGUUAAAAAGCUCGUAGUUGAAUUUCGGGACUAAUAUGUCAGUCGUGCCUCGGUACGUACUGGUUUAUUGGUUUCUCCUUUCUGAAGAACCAUGAUGUCAUUUAUUUGGUGUCGUGGGGAAUCAGGACUGUUACUUUGAAAAAAUUAGAGUGUUUAAAGCAGGCUCACGCUUGAAUACAUUAGCAUGGAAUAAUGAAAUAGGACGUUUGAUUCUAUUUUGUUGGUUUCUAGGAUCGACGUAAUGAUUAAUAGGGAUAGUUGGGGGCAUUAGUAUUCAAUUGUCAGAGGUGAAAUUCUUGGAUUUAUUGAAGACUAACUACCGCGAAAGCAUUUGCCAAGGAUGUUUUCAUUAAUCAAGAACGAAAGUUAGGGGAUCGAAGACGAUCAGAUACCGUCGUAGUCUUAACCAUAAACUAUGCCGACUAGGGAUCGGAUGAUGUUAAUUUUUUAAUGACUCAUUCGGCGCCUUACGGGAAACCAAAGUGUUUGGGUUC